RNAcentral lists this ribosomal RNA (253 nucleotides) under uncultured bacterium. Its description in RNAcentral is "partial 16S ribosomal RNA". It matches the Rfam family "Bacterial small subunit ribosomal RNA", at positions 524 to 776 of the family's 1533-position model. The record is from RNAcentral.
GACAGAGGGGGCAAGCGUUGCUCGGAAUUACUGGGCGUAAAGGGCGCGUAGGCGGGGUGGCAAGUCGGUCGUGAAAUCCCUCGGCUCAACCGAGGAACGUCGAUCGAUACUGCUGUUCUUGAGGAUUGCAGAGGAGACUGGAAUUCCCGGUGUAGCGGUGAAAUGUGUAGAGAUCGGGAGGAACACCGGUGGCGAAGGCGGGUCUCUGGGCAAUUCCUGACGCUGAGGCGCGAAAGCGUGGGGAGCAAACGGG